ACCUGCGGAAGGAUCAUUAUUGUUAAAUCUUUUUUUACUCGACUAUGGUGACUCUUCUCUUGGAUUAAUUAACCUGCGCUUAACUGCGCGGUUACCUUGAGAAGGUUCUAUAGGAGAUUAAAAAAAAACUUAUACACAUUGUUUUUUCUUAUCAUAAUUUUGGAGAGGGGAAAAAGAACGAAAAAAAAAAGACUGUAAGAGGGGGAGUUUAAUUACUCUUUCUUUUCUGUUUUUGUUUUUUGUUUCCUUUUUCUUUUCUUUCGAAAUUAUGGUUAAUAUUAUUAAAACCCAUUCUCAAUUUUUAUUGAGGAAUGUAUAUUUUUUAAAUACAAAUUUUGUCAUUUUAAAACUUUUAUAAGUUUAAUAACUUUUAAAACUUUCAGCAACGGAUCUCUUGGUUCUCGCAUCGAUGAAGAACGCAGCGAAUUGCGAUAAGUAAUGUGAAUUGCAGAUUUUCGUGAAUCAUCGAAUCUUUGAACGCAUAUUGCACUCUAUAGUAUUCUGUAGAGUAUGCCUGUUUGAGCGUCAUUUCUCUCUUAAACCAUUAGGUUUAGUAUUGGAAGUUGUGUUAUAUAAUAUAUAACUCUUCUGAAAUGACUUGGCAAUUAGUUGUUAAAACUUCUUUUUCUAAAGGCUUUAUUAUUAGGUUUUACCAAUUUAAUAAAUGUCCUUUUAGGAUUUUUAAGGGAAGUUUUACUAGUACUAAGGCCUUAUAACUACUCAUUAAUUUGACCUCAAAUCAGUA
This 745-nucleotide unclassified non-coding RNA is filed under the name Saccharomycopsis malanga. RNAcentral describes it as "sequence contains ITS1, 5.8S rRNA gene and ITS2". The stretch from base 375 to 528 matches the Rfam family "5.8S ribosomal RNA". The record is from RNAcentral. Lineage: Eukaryota; Fungi; Ascomycota; Saccharomycetes; Ascoideales; Saccharomycopsidaceae.